This 255-nucleotide ribosomal RNA is filed under the name uncultured bacterium. Its description in RNAcentral is "partial 16S ribosomal RNA". It matches the Rfam family "Bacterial small subunit ribosomal RNA", at positions 524 to 777 of the family's 1533-position model. The record is from RNAcentral.
UACGUAGGGUGCGAGCGUUAAUCGGAAUUACUGGGCGUAAAGCGUGCGCAGGCGGCGCGUUAAGACAGGUGUGAAAGCCCCGAGCUUAACUUGGGAAUUGCGCUUGUGACUGGCGUGCUGGAGUGUGGCAGAGGGAGGUGGAAUUCCACGUGUAGCAGUGAAAUUCGUAGAUAUUGGGAAGAACACCGGUGGCGAAGGCGGCUCUCUGGACCGAGACUGACGCUGAGGCGCGAAAGCGUGGGGGAGCAAACAGGG